GUGGAAUGCUGAGAAAGGGAAAAGCACCUCUAAAUAAGGAAGAGGAACAGGCUAUGACCUAAUGCCCUCUUGGACCAGUAUAAGCAUGCCAGGGCAAAUAUUUAGGCUAAACUGUGGGAGCUAAGAACAUAAAGUCUUGACUCCAUUUUUCACUAAAACGAAUCAAAACUCCUUGGAGAGAUGACCGAUUGCUGGGAAAAGACAGGGAAUGUACAAGAUGGACCUGGAACGUCUUUUGUGCCACAAAGCAAGAAGGUGCUCAAAGAGUAGUGAGAGUACAUCAAGUCAGCUUGAACAAGCUUCCACUGGCCAAAUUGGGGACAAUUUGAACAUCAAAAUAAACAAUGACAAAAGUAUAGUAUAGGCUAUUG
This 371-nucleotide long non-coding RNA is filed under the name Homo sapiens (human). RNAcentral describes it as "HSALNT0330386". The record is from RNAcentral. Lineage: Eukaryota; Metazoa; Chordata; Mammalia; Primates; Hominidae.